GCCUAUACCCAUGCCACCCUGAACACUCCCAAUCUCAUCUGAUCUCAGAAGCUAAGCAGGAUUGGGCCUGGUUAGUACUUGAAUGGGAGACCGCCUAGGAAGACCGGGUGCAGUAGGUG
This 119-nucleotide ribosomal RNA is filed under the name Pteropus alecto (black flying fox). Lineage: Eukaryota; Metazoa; Chordata; Mammalia; Chiroptera; Pteropodidae. The record is from RNAcentral.